AUUGAACGCUGGCGGCAGGCCUAACACAUGCAAGUCGAACGGUAACAGGAAGCAGCUUGCUGCUUCGCUGACGAGUGGCGGCCGGGUGAGUAAUGUCUGGGAAGCUGCCUGAUGGAGGGGGAUAACUACUGGAAACGGUAGCUAAUACCGCAUAAUGUCGCAAGACCAAAGAGGGGGACCUUCGGGCCUCUUGCCAUCGGAUGUGCCCAGAUGGGAUUAGCUUGUUGGUGGGGUCACGGCUCACCAAGGCGACGAUCCCUAGCUGGUCUGAGAGGAUGACCAGCCACACUGGGACUGAGACACGGUCCAGACUCCUACGGGAGGCAGCAGUGGGGAAUAUUGCACAAUGGGCGCAAGCCUGAUGCAGCCAUGCCGCGUGUAUGAAGAAGGCCUUCGGGUUGUAAAGUACUUUCAGCGGGGAGGAAGGGAGUAAAGUUAAUACCUUUGCUAAUUGACGUUACCCGCAGAAGAAGCACCGGCUAACUCCGUG
This 490-nucleotide ribosomal RNA is filed under the name uncultured bacterium. Its description in RNAcentral is "partial 16S ribosomal RNA". It matches the Rfam family "Bacterial small subunit ribosomal RNA", at positions 30 to 507 of the family's 1533-position model. The record is from RNAcentral.